This 219-nucleotide ribosomal RNA is filed under the name uncultured bacterium. Its description in RNAcentral is "partial 16S ribosomal RNA". It matches the Rfam family "Bacterial small subunit ribosomal RNA", at positions 524 to 742 of the family's 1533-position model. The record is from RNAcentral.
GACGGAGGAUGCAAGUGUUAUCCGGAAUCACUGGGCGUAAAGCGUCUGUAGGUGGUUCGAAAAGUCCACUGUUAAAGAUUGAGGCUUAACUUCAAAAAUGCCGUGGAAACUUUCAAACUAGAGUAUGGUAGGGGUAGAGGGAAUUUCCAGUGGAGCGGUGAAAUGCGUAGAUAUUGGAAAGACCACCGAUGGCGAAGGCACUCUACUGGGCCAUUACUG